CCCUAAUGAAGUCUUUCUGACAUUUGGAUUUCCCAGUUGAGUCUCCCAAACGAGGCCUGCUACCUCAUGAGAUGUUGAAUGCUGGCACAACACUGGUACUUUUGUAACACUGCUAACGGGGACCAAGCAAGAAUUCAUUCCAACUUCUAGAAGCUCUGGAUCAAAGAAAAAGGGUGUGACAGCUCUUAAAGAUAAACGUAGAG
This 203-nucleotide long non-coding RNA is filed under the name Rattus norvegicus (Norway rat). Its description in RNAcentral is "long non-coding RNA NONRATT031508". Lineage: Eukaryota; Metazoa; Chordata; Mammalia; Rodentia; Muridae. The record is from RNAcentral.